UGGGGAAUUUUGGACAAUGGGCGAAAGCCUGAUCCAGCAAUGCCGCGUGUGUGAAGAAGGCCUUCGGGUUGUAAAGCACUUUUGUCCGGAAAGAAAUCCUUGGCUCUAAUACAGUCGGGGGAUGACGGUACCGGAAGAAUAAGCACCGGCUAACUACGUGCCAGCAGCCGCGGUAAUACGUAGGGUGCAAGCGUUAAUCGGAAUUACUGGGCGUAAAGCGUGCGCAGGCGGUUUGCUAAGACCGAUGUGAAAAUCCCCGGGCUCAACCUGGGAACUGCAUUGGUGACUGGCAGGCUAGAGUAUGGCAGAGGGGGUAGAAUUCCACGUGUAGCAGUGAAAUGCGUAGAGAUGUGGAGGAAUACCGAUGGCGAAGGCAGCCCCCUGGCCAAUACUGACGCUCAUGCACGAAAAGCGUGGGGAGCAAACAGGAUUAGAUACCCUGGUAGUCCACGCCCUAAAACGAUGUCAACUAGUUGUUGGGGAUUCAUUUCCUUAGUAACGUAGCUAACGCGUGAAGUUGACCGCCUGGGGAGU
This 534-nucleotide ribosomal RNA is filed under the name uncultured bacterium. RNAcentral's name for it is "partial 16S ribosomal RNA". It matches the Rfam family "Bacterial small subunit ribosomal RNA", at positions 355 to 881 of the family's 1533-position model. The record is from RNAcentral.